AGUGAACGCUGGCGGUAGGCCUAACACAUGCAAGUCGAACGGCAGCACAGUAAGAGCUUGCUCUUACGGGUGGCGAGUGGCGGACGGGUGAGGAAUACAUCGGAAUCUACUUUUUCGUGGGGGAUAACGUAGGGAAACAUACGCUAAUACCGCAUACGACCUACGGGUGAAAGCAGGGGAUCUUCGGACCUUGCGCGAUUGAAUGAGCCGAUGUCGGAUUAGCUAGUUGGCGGGGUAAAGGCCCACCAAGGCGACGAUCCGUAGCUGGUCUGAGAGGAUGAUCAGCCACACUGGAACUGAGACACGGUCCAGACUCCUACGGGAGGCAGCAGUGGGGAAUAUUGGACAAAGGGCGCAAGCCUGAUCCAGCCAUACCGCGUGGGUGAAGAAGGCCUUCGGGUUGUAAAGCCCUUUUGUUGGGAAAGAAAAGCAGCAGGUUAAUACCCCGCUGUUCUGACGGUACCCAAAGAAUAAGCACCGGCUAACUUCGUG
Molecule: ribosomal RNA, 492 nt
Filed under: uncultured bacterium
Lineage: Bacteria
Description: partial 16S ribosomal RNA
Rfam family: Bacterial small subunit ribosomal RNA
Source: RNAcentral